GACGAACGCUGGCGGCGGGCCUAACACAUGCAAGUCGAACGAGUGGCGGACGGGUGAGUAAGGUCUGGGAAACUGCCCGAUGGAGGGGGAUAACUACUGGAAACGGUAGCUAAUACCGCAUACCAUCGGGUGUGCCCAGAUGGGAUGAGCUAGUAGGUGGGGUAACGGCUCACCUAGGCGACGAGCCCUAGCUGGUCUGAGAGGGUGACCAGCCCCACCGGAACUGAUGAACGGCCCAGAUGCCUACGGGAGGCAGCAGUGGGGACUAUUGCACGAUGGGCGCAAGCCUGAUGCAGCCAUGCCGCGUGUAUGAAGAAGGCAUUCGGGUUGUAAAGUACUUUCAGCGAGGAGGCGUUACUCGCAGAAGAAGCACCGGCUAACUCCGUGCCAGCAGCCGCGGUAAUUC
Molecule: ribosomal RNA, 406 nt
Filed under: uncultured bacterium
Lineage: Bacteria
Description: partial 16S ribosomal RNA
Rfam family: Bacterial small subunit ribosomal RNA
Source: RNAcentral